This is a long non-coding RNA of Astatotilapia calliptera (eastern happy), 1365 nucleotides long. Lineage: Eukaryota; Metazoa; Chordata; Actinopteri; Cichliformes; Cichlidae. The record is from Ensembl.
GAACUUUCAUGGCUUGCAAAACAACAAUUGUCUUUAAUAUGUAAUAAGAUUGCGUGCAAAAAAUCCUGUAUCAACAAUUCUUAAUUAACUAGCUUGCCACUGUGGCCCCUUACUGAAUCCCAUUAGUAGUUUUUUUUUUAAUGUAACAAAUAACUAAAACACACACAAAGGUUGCUGUGUUAGGAAACUGACAAUAAUAAAAAAGCAAGACAUAGAAUUUAAAGAGGAGUAGUUUUAUAUCUCUCGGCUGGCCUGGGAACGCCUUGGUGUUCCCCCGGAUAAGCUGGAGGAGGUGGCUGGGGAGAGGGAGGUCUGGUCCUCUUUGCUUAGGCUGCUGCCCCCGCGACCCGGCCUCGGAUAAAGCGGAUGAGGAUGGAUGGAUGGAUGGAUAGUUUUAAGACAUAAGAACAUGCAUAAUGGUAUCAUGAGUUGAAAGUUGUUGUAUUUUUUUUUUUCUUUUUGCCUGUCCCGUUUGGCUCUUUUGCCAUCAGAAUUGUUGUCUAAAGGCAAAGAAAGAUGCCCAACGGAUUUACUUUACCAAAUUGACCAUCCCAGCCUUGCCAUAAUGGUCCAUUUGAUUCACCUUUUAUUGUUUAUUUUAUUUUCACUUACUGAACAUGGGACAGACUUGACUGGGGGAAAGAAGGGGAGAAAGAAAGAGGGAAAGAGAAACAGCUGAGAAGAGGGACGGGGGAGAAGGGCAAAAACCAAUAACCAACAGAAUGAGCAGAAAAAGAAAAAAAAGAAGAAAAAAGAAAAAAAAAUGCAUAUAUCAAUCACCUGGAUCACCUGCUGAGAAAGAAAAAAGAAAACAAGGAGAAGAGAACAAGAGUAAUAGAAUAAACAACAUCACAAUGAUAUAUGGGAAUAUGACAGUAAAUACUAAAUAUUAAACAUUAUUGUGCAGCACAUAAGAUCAACAGAACACAGUGUGCUUUGAGGUAGGAGCCAAAAAGGGUGUAGUUUGUGGGUGUGAUCACCCGUGUGUACACCUGUGAGCAUGGACGCGCUUGUUUUUUGUUUUUUAAAAGGUUCCUUCAUGUAAUGAUCUGCUAGAGGGUGUGGGGGGGCCACAGCCCCAUCCUCCAGGGCAUGAAGCAGGUAUGGAGGAGAUCAAAACUCCAGACAUCCAGAGGCCCCCAGAACACAAGAGACCAAGGAAGACCAACAGAGGGGCAGCCGCGCCACUGUCCCAGAAAGAGCUGAGGAGAGUCCCAGAUGAGGGCUCACUCAGCAGCCGCGGAGCAGAAGCCAGGGGGAGUUGCAGUGACGCGCCCGUGAGCUCCGCCGGCAGCCAGCCGUGCCUGAGUGACCGAGCCCCAGGCCGAGAGGCCGGGGGCACCCCACCUCCGAAGUGGCCCGAGC